AUUGAACGCUGGCGGCAGGCUUAACACAUGCAAGUCGAGCGGGGUGAUGGUGCUUGCACUAUCACUUAGCGGCGGACGGGUGAGUAAUGCUUAGGAAUCUGCCUAUUAGUGGGGGACAACAUCUCGAAAGGGAUGCUAAUACCGCAUACGUCCUACGGGAGAAAGCAGGGGAUCACUUGUGACCUUGCGCUAAUAGAUGAGCCUAAGUCGGAGUAGCUAGUUGGUGGGGUAAAGGCCUACCAAGGGGACGAUCUGUAGCGGGUCUGAGAGGAUGAUCCGCCACACUGGGACUGAGACACGGCCCAGACUCCUACGGGAGGCAGCAGUGGGGAAUAUUGGACAAUGGGGGGAACCCUGAUCCAGCCAUGCCGCGUGUGUGAAGAAGGCCUUAUGGUUGUAAAGCACUUUAAGCGAGGAGGAGGCUCUUUUGGUUAAUACCCAAGAUGAGUGGACGUUACUCGCAGAAUAAGCACCGGCUAACUCUGUGCCAGCCGCCGCAGUAA
This 503-nucleotide ribosomal RNA is filed under the name uncultured bacterium. RNAcentral describes it as "partial 16S ribosomal RNA". It matches the Rfam family "Bacterial small subunit ribosomal RNA", at positions 30 to 523 of the family's 1533-position model. The record is from RNAcentral.